ACAGAGUGACAGGUGGUGCAUGGUUGUCGUCAGCUCGUGUCGUGAGAUGUUGGGUUAAGUCCCGCAACGAGCGCAACCCUUGAUCUUAGUUGCCAGCAUUCAGUUGGGCACUCUAAGGUGACUGCCGGUGACAAACCGGAGGAAGGUGGGGAUGACGUCAAAUCAUCAUGCCCCUUAUGACCUGGGCUACACACGUGCUACAAUGGAUGGUACAAAGGGCAGCGAAGCCGCGAGGUGGAGCCAAUCCCAUAAAACCAUUCUCAGUUCGGAUUGCAGGCUGCAACUCGCCUGCAUGAAGCCGGAAUCGCUAGUAAUCGCGGAUCAGCAUGCCGCGGUGAAUACGUUCCCGGGCCUUGUACACACCGCCCGUCACACCACGAGAGUUUGUAACACCCGAAGUCGGUGGGGUAACCGUAAGGAGCCAGCCGCCUAAGGUGGGACAGAUGAUUGGGGUGAAGUCGUAACAAGGUAGCCGUAUCGGAAGGUGCGGCUGGAUCAC
This 499-nucleotide ribosomal RNA is filed under the name uncultured Caryophanales bacterium. Its description in RNAcentral is "bacterial SSU rRNA". It matches the Rfam family "Bacterial small subunit ribosomal RNA", at positions 1026 to 1526 of the family's 1533-position model. Lineage: Bacteria; Bacillati; Bacillota; Bacilli; Caryophanales. The record is from RNAcentral.